This 365-nucleotide ribosomal RNA is filed under the name uncultured bacterium. RNAcentral describes it as "bacterial SSU rRNA". It matches the Rfam family "Bacterial small subunit ribosomal RNA", at positions 69 to 422 of the family's 1533-position model. The record is from RNAcentral.
CGUCGGAUUAGCAAUAAUUCGGCGGUCCUAGUGGCGCACGGGUGAGUAACACGUGGGUAACCUGCCCUAGAGUUCGGGAUACCCCCUCGAAAGGGGGGCUAAUACCGGAUACGGCCCUCGGGUCGAAAGGCCUGGGGAAGAAAGGUAGCGCAAGCUGCCGCUCUUGGAGGGGCUCGCGGCCUAUCAGCUUGUUGGUGGGGUAAUGGCCCACCAAGGCUUCGACGGGUAGCUGGUCUGAGAGGAUGUCCAGCCACACUGGGACUGAGACACGGCCCAGACUCCUACGGGAGGCAGCAGUGGGGAAUCUUGCGCAAUGGGCGAAAGCCUGACGCAGCGAUGCCGCGUGCGGGAUGAAGGCCUUCGGG